This 467-nucleotide ribosomal RNA is filed under the name uncultured bacterium. Its description in RNAcentral is "partial 16S ribosomal RNA". It matches the Rfam family "Bacterial small subunit ribosomal RNA", at positions 28 to 506 of the family's 1533-position model. The record is from RNAcentral.
GACGAACGCUGGCGGCGUGCUUAACACAUGCAAGUCGAACGGAAAGGCCCUGCUUUUGUGGGGUGCUCGAGUGGCGAACGGGUGAGUAACACGUGAGUAACCUGCCCUUGACUUUGGGAUAACUUCAGGAAACUGGGGCUAAUACCGGAUAGGAGCUCCUGCUGCAUGGUGGGGGUUGGAAAGUUUCGGCGGUUGGGGAUGGACUCGCGGCUUAUCAGCUUGUUGGUGGGGUAGUGGCUUACCAAGGCUUUGACGGGUAGCCGGCCUGAGAGGGUGACCGGCCACAUUGGGACUGAGAUACGGCCCAGACUCCUACGGGAGGCAGCAGUGGGGAAUAUUGCACAAGGGGCGGAAGCCUGAUGCAGCAACGCCGCGUGCGGGAUGACGGCCUUCGGGUUGUAAACCGCUUUCGCCUGUGACGAAGCGUGAGUGACGGUAAUGGGUAAAGAAGCACCGGCGAACUACGU